This 315-nucleotide ribosomal RNA is filed under the name uncultured bacterium. RNAcentral describes it as "bacterial SSU rRNA". It matches the Rfam family "Bacterial small subunit ribosomal RNA", at positions 515 to 829 of the family's 1533-position model. The record is from RNAcentral.
CCGCGGUAAUACGGAGGAUGCAAGCGUUAUCCGGAUUUAUUGGGUUUAAAGGGUGCGUAGGCGGGCCAGUAAGUCAGUGGUGAAAUCCUGCAGCUUAACUGUAGAAUUGCCAUUGAUACUGUUGGCCUUGAGUGCAGUUGCGGUAGGCGGAAUGUGUAAUGUAGCGGUGAAAUGCUUAGAUAUUACACAGAACACCGAUUGCGUAGGCAGCUUACUAAACUGCUACUGACGCUGAGGCACGAAAGCGUGGGGAGCGAACAGGAUUAGAUACCCUGGUAGUCCACGCUGUAAACGAUGAUCACUCGUUGUUGGCCG